UGGGGAAUUUUGGACAAUGGGCGAAAGCCUGAUCCAGCAAUGCCGCGUGUGUGAAGAAGGCCUUCGGGUUGUAAAGCACUUUUGUCCGGAAAGAAAUCCUUGGCUCUAAUACAGUCGGGGGAUGACGGUACCGGAAGAAUAAGCACCGGCUAACUACGUGCCAGCAGCCGCGGUAAUACGUAGGGUGCAAGCGUUAAUCGGAAUUACUGGGCGUAAAGCGUGCGCAGGCGGUUUGCUAAGACCGAUGUGAAAUCCCCGGGCUCAACCUGGGAACUGCAUUGGUGACUGGCAGGCUAGAGUAUGGCAGAGGGGGGUAGAAUUCCACGUGUAGCAGUGAAAUGCGUAGAGAUGUGGAGGAAUACCGAUGACGAAGGCAGCCCCCUGGGCCAAUACUGACGCUCAUGCACGAAAGCGUGGGGAGCAAACAGGAUUCAGAUACCCUGGUAGUCCACGCCCUAAACGAUGUCAACUAGUUGUUGGGGGAUUCAUUUCCUUAGUAACGUAGCUAACGCGUGAAGUUGACCGCCUGGGGAGUACGGUCGCAAGAUUAAAACUUAAAGGAAUUGACGGGGUCAUAGCUGUUUCCU
RNAcentral lists this ribosomal RNA (587 nucleotides) under uncultured bacterium. Its description in RNAcentral is "partial 16S ribosomal RNA". It matches the Rfam family "Bacterial small subunit ribosomal RNA", at positions 355 to 1375 of the family's 1533-position model. The record is from RNAcentral.